UCAAGCUAAUAAGAGCACAGGGUGGAUGCCCAGGCACCAAACGCCGAUGAAAGACGUGGCAAGCUGCGAAAAGUCACGGGGAACCGCAAGCAGGUAUUGAUCCGUGAACGUCUGAAUGGGGAAACCCGGCGGGUUAACAGCCCGUCACUAUUAACUGAAUCAAUAGGUUAAUAGGGGGAACGCGGGGAACUGAAACAUCUCAGUACCCGUAGGAAGAGAAAAUAAAGAAUGAUUUCCUAAGUAGCGGCGAGCGAACGGGAAAGAGGCCAAACCGAAGGGCUUGCUCUUCGGGGUUGUGGAUCAGCAAUAAGGACGAGAGACCUUAGCAGAAGAGGAUUGGAAAGUCCCGCCAGAGAGGGUAAAAGCCCCUUACGCGAAAAGGUCAAACGACGAGCUGACACCAGAGUACCGCAGGACACGAGAAAUCCGGUGGGAAGCCGGGAGGACCACCUCCCAAGCCUAAAUACGAAUUGGUGACCGAUAGCGCAUAGUACCGUGAGGGAAAGGUGAAAAGAACCCCGGGAGGGGAGUGAAAAAGAACCUGAAACCCUGUGUUUACAAGCAGUGAAAGUGCGAGCAAGGCACGAUCACGUACUUUUUGUAGAACGGACCGGCGAGUUACGUUAUGCAGCAAGGUUAAGAACUGAAGGUUCGGAGCCGAAGCGAAAGCGAGUCUGAAUAGGGCGAUAGUUGCAUGACGUAGACCCGAAACCGGGUGACCUAUCCAUGAGCAGGUUGAAGUGGAGGUAAAGCUCCAUGGAGGACCGAACCAGACGUCUGUUGAAAAAGGCGGGGAUGACUUGUGGAUAGGGGAGAAAUUCCAAUCGAACCCGGAGAUAGCUGGUUCUCCUCGAAAUAGCUUUAGGGCUAGCCUCAUGGAUCAUUGGUGGGGGUAGAGCACUGAAUGUGCGCGGGGGCCACAAAGCCUACCAAACGCUAUCAAACUUCGAAUACCAUACAAUGCAGACCAUGGGAGUCAGUCCGCGAGAGAUAAGUUCCGCGGGCAAAAGGGGAACACCCCAGAUCAACCGCUAAGGUCCCCAAGUUCACGUUAAGUGGAGAAGGAUGUGGAAUUGCACAGACAACCAGGAUGUUGGCUCAGAAGCAGCCACACAUUUAAAGAGUGCGUAAUAGCUCACUGGUCGAGUGAUUGUGCGCCGAAGAUGUCCGGGGCUAAACGUGACACCGAAGCGAUGGGUGCGUCUGAAAGGAUGCGCGGUAGAGGAGCAAUGUGCAGAGGCAGAAGCCGUAUCGAGAGGCACGGUGGACACUGCACAAGAGAGAAUGCCGGUAUGAGUAGCGAGAGGCAUGCGAGAAACAUGCCCGUCGAAAGCCCAAGGUUUCCUGGGGAAGGUUCAUCCGCCCAGGGUAAGUCGGGGCCUAAGCCGAGGACGGAAGUCGUAGGCGAUGGACAGCAGGUGUAGAUUCCUGCACUACCGAUGGAAUGAAGCAGUGACACAGAAGGAUAACUCGAGCAGGGUGAUGGUCAACCCUGUGCAAGCAUCAAGGUUGGGUUGUAGUGAAGUACGCAAUCCUACAAGCUGAGGUGUGAUGCGGACCGAAAUUUCAGUAGGGAAGCGAGUGAGUUCACGCUGGCGAGAAAAGCUGCUAGUAUAUCCAAAGGUACCCGUACCGGAAACCGACGCAGGUGGGCGAGGAGAGAAUCCUGAGACGAACGGGAGAACCCUUGUUAAGGAACUCGGCAAAAUGACCCCGUAACUUCGGGAUAAGGGGUGCCUGCGAGAGCAGGCCGCAGAGAAUAGUCACAAGCGACUGUUUAGCAAAAACACAGGUAUCUGCGAAAGCGAGAGCUGACGUAUAGGUGCUGACACCUGCCCGGUGCUGGAAGGUUAAGGGAACAUGUUAGAGCAAUCGAAGCAUCGAACCGAAGCCCCAGUAAACGGCGGCCGUAACUAUAACGGUCCUAAGGUAGCGAAAUUCCUUGUCGGGUAAGUUCCGACCCGC
RNAcentral lists this ribosomal RNA (1965 nucleotides) under human gut metagenome. RNAcentral's name for it is "bacterial LSU rRNA". It matches the Rfam family "Bacterial large subunit ribosomal RNA", at positions 3 to 1991 of the family's 2925-position model. The record is from RNAcentral.